UUCAAUACUACCGUUAAAACGUAGUGUGCACUUUUCUCUUAGUAAGACGUCGUGAUUCAUUAGAAAUUGAUGUAUUUAAAUGAGUACAUAGUGGGUCAUCAAUAGGCUAACGUGAAGUUUAUUCGGAACAAAUGGCGUUGUCUUUCACGGCUUCGUGUAUUGUCUGUUAAGCGCGUUAUGUUUUCCUGUAAUGACUGUCUGAUGGAUUUUAAGGACAAUAUCAUCGAUACUUGUAUCGUCUCUUAUAGAGAUUUUUAUGAUAUUUGUCUGAUCAACGGCGGCUAAAUUUGAGAUACCUUUUGGACCCGUCUUGAAACACGGACCAAGGAGUCUAUCUAGUAUGCGAGUAAAUGGAUUGUUUGUUGAAAUCUAUUUGCGUAAUAAACUUGACUGUUUACUAAUGGGAUUACGAGUGAUAAAGUAAUUUUUAUUGUUCUUCCAUCCCGGGGUAUUUUUAUCAACAUAUACCGUUAAAAAGUAUAUGGAAAAUAUACCAUGAGCACACUGGAUGCGACCCGAAAGAUGGUGAACUAUGCCUGAUCAGGUCGAAGUCAGGGGAAACCCUGAUGGAGGACCGAAGCAGUUCUGACGUGCAAAUCG
RNAcentral lists this ribosomal RNA (600 nucleotides) under Pagastiella sp. 1 SRM-2010. Its description in RNAcentral is "eukaryotic LSU rRNA". It matches the Rfam family "Eukaryotic large subunit ribosomal RNA", at positions 437 to 900 of the family's 3401-position model. The record is from RNAcentral. Lineage: Eukaryota; Metazoa; Arthropoda; Insecta; Diptera; Chironomidae.